Molecule: long non-coding RNA, 2002 nt
Organism: Pogona vitticeps (central bearded dragon)
Lineage: Eukaryota; Metazoa; Chordata; Lepidosauria; Squamata; Agamidae
Source: Ensembl
GAGCAACUUUUCGGGUUGGGCGAAGGUCGUAACAGUGGGGCGCCGGGCAAGGAGUUGGUUCGCUUUGCAGAGCAGGGGAGGGAUCGCUCGCUCGCUCCCGCAGCGCGCGCGCCCGGCGGGGGGGAAGAAAGAAGAGUUCUUUUUUUUUUUUCAGGCCCCAGGAGGGGCUGCUUGGAGAAUCGGGUCCUCCAGCUUGUUGCGUCGAGAAACGUGCAGCCACCGUCACCUCCUUACUGGAAAGAAAAGAGAUCGGCCUUGCUGGUGGUAACUGGGAGGAGAGCGGCUGGAUAUUGGACCGGCACCAGGAGUUCAGCAAGAGCUGCCCGGCGAGAUGGUCCCCGAGCGGAGGGCUGCGGCGCGCGCUGGUUCCCGAUCCCCCGCCACGAACUGAAAGGCCAUGGGAAAGCGUGGGCAUGGCGAGCCCGAGACCCGGAUGUACGAAGGAGGCUUGGGACUGCGAAGGAAAGGGCGCGCGUACACACACGCACGCACACGCACGAGUGUGCACAUGUGUGUGGUGACAGACAUGGAGAGGGGUCGCCUAUAAUUAUCCGCCGCCUCCUAUCCUGUUCUCUCCACCUCCCGACUGAGGUUGUAAACUAUUUUGGCCAGAGGCAAGAAUCCCAACGAGGAAGCGAGCUACUUGAAUGUCGCCGAGAAAAUCCGCGCUGCAUUUCCAUGUUUUAUUGGGGGAGGGCUCUGUAUGUGUGUGUUUGCAGAAAAGGGUACAUGGUGGGGAAAAAAAUAUUCUGGGCCAGCUCUUUCCCCACCCCACCCCACCUUUAUAUCUCCUUGGGGGACAGGGCCUGGCAUUCUGGAUUUGCAGUUGAACCCCGGCUCCAGCGAGGAAUCUUCCCGGCUGGAAAAAGGCGCGCGGGUACUACGUGGAUGGCUAGAUCGUGGUGGCGGCGGCGGCGUUCCCCGUGGCUCUCGGCCUCGAGUCCCUUGGGCCGGCGGGGGUGGGGGCAAAGAAGGGAAAAGAUUAAAAGAGGGGUCACCUAAAAUUAAAAACGGCCCUCUCCUUUAGUUAAAUCCAAGUUUCUGCAUGGAAAAAUCGGGGAGAAAAUAGGAUCUGCUGCAGACCUCCAAAUUGCCGCCUGCCUCGGAACGGAUUCUUUAAUAUUUACUAUCCGUUUUCUAGCCAUACGUUUCAACCUGGCUUCCGCGGCCAUUCAUAAGACUCCCUCCCCCCCGCUCCUUUCUUCCCGAUGCCCACGGGAGGCCUCCGCGUCUCGGGAACUCCCCCUCCCCGCCAUCGUUGUGUCUCUUGUCUUUGGUCCUUCCUUGGUAAACAAAAGCUUGCGAUCUGGGAAAGUAGGCGACCGACUGACUGCAGGCGGUUCCCUCGCUUCCUUCGACCGGCUCCGGCUUCCGAUGGGCUAAGCAAAAACGGCGGGGAAUAGGCAGAAGGGAGCAACGCCGAGACGACCGCGAUCCCACCUCCUCCUGCUCACACAGGGGACGCCCGACGCAAAGUGAGGCGACCUGGCGGGCGUUUUUAACGAAGUGCUUCGCAGGAUCAGACCGUAGGGCCCUCGAAGCCUCCUCCGGUUUCAGCGUUGGCGGCCAGCUGCUUCCGGGAAACCCAGGAGGGGAGAGCCAGGAGGAGGCAGCCGCCCUUCGCCAGGCGGGAGGAGGAGGAGGAGGAGGAAGGCCGGGCGUAGCAGCAGCAGCAGCAGCAGCUACCAUGUGGCGUGCACCGGCAGCGUUCGGCUCCUUGGCUGAGCGGAGCGUGUGAAGAAGACGUGGGCUCGCUCGCUCGCUCGCUCGCGCCUUCCGUGGCGCUCAAAGGCUCGCUGGCUUUGACGGCGGCAAGAAGCCGGCCUGGAAAGUAGUCACUGCUUCGCUGGGAUCCGCCGAGCCGGCCUCACAUCUCGCGGCCGCGAUCGGGUAAAUCCGUGUGGAGCGCUGCCUAAUUAAACGGCUAAUAGGUGCUGUGCGCGCCCAGCAGAAGGAUGUCAGCCAAGCCUCAAACCCCCUCGCUCGCUCUCGCAAACCUGGA